UUUUUUUUUUUUUUUUUUUUUCAAAAAAAAUGAAAAAAAGAUUGAAAUAUGAAAUUUUAACAUCUCCAACACAAUCACACUCAAGUCUUCGACACUUAAAAUAAACAUAACGUCCAAACUUUAAAGUCCUCAAGCACACACCUUCUUUUCAAGCUCAAGCUAAUUUAAUUAAGAUACAAAACAUAUAAUAAGAUUCAAUUAGAGAACGACCCUAAAUCACGAUUCAUAAAGCUUUCCCAUACACCAAUUACAUAACAUAUAGCUGUAAAGAACAGAACAUAACAUCCAAUGGGUCAGUGAAUGGAUAACAUGUCAGAACGUGAGAACUUAGAUUGUCUACAGAACAACUGAUCUUUGCUGCAGCUUGGGUUAUCUAUUUAUACAAAAGCUAGCCUUUAUUUUAGUAUGAAACAAAAUUAUAAUAAGGAAGAAGAAACUAUAUAUUUUCUAUUGUAAAUUCAUAUCUUAUUAAUGCAGAUAAGGGUAUGGUUUUUGUCAACUAACUCCAAUGGAGAUAAGGGUUUACUAAGCUUUCCGAAACUCGGUCGGUAUGGUUCUGUGCAAACAUCACCAUUUUUGGUACCUUCCAUCCUUUCCAAAACCAGCAUAUACAAAAUCACUAUUCUAUAAAACACUCUCAGAAAUGACUAGUUACAAUUAAUCAUUUGAAAUACAUGUAUUUAAUAAUUUCAUUCCAAUACACACAAUUUUUGAAAUCGAGUUGUGAAUUGACAGGGACACCAUAAUCUGCAGGGCCUGCAUCAUAAUUUGUGAAUUUUUGUCUAUCGAUUUUAUCACCAUUGCUUUGAUAAUUCGGCUUCCAUUAAACAACAGUGUUGUAACAUAUCAGUGAAAAAGAAAUUUAUUGAAUUGGCUAUCAAACUGAUGGCUGAAGAAGAAGAUAGUUCAUAUUUGUAUGGGAACACAAAGUAUCGAAGUCGAACCCAGUUUUCACCACAAGGGUAUGUAUGUUCAGACUUUAGAUGCACAGCCAAUGGUUACAAACCCUUAAAUUAAAACCUCAUAUUUUUUCUAAUUGGCAACCCCUUCCUCACCCAUCAGAUUCUUCCAAUUGACAACAAUAGUAAGCAUUCUAAUUGACAAUAAUAAUGAGCAUUACUAUCAAAGGAAAUCUGUAGAACAUGAGAGACUGACUGACUAACCUUGCAAAGGCAGUCAUGGGUCGAGAGACUCGAGAUUGGAAACGACGAGAGAACUCAGAGCCAGAAGAGGUCGCGGGUCACGCCUUCACGGGUCACGAGGGUGAGAGAUUGAGAGUGAGACAGCGACACUGACUGAGAGUGAGACGGGUAGCACGGUCGCAAGUCGCAGGUCGUAGGUCGUAAGGAAGAAGACAAAGAUAGGUAGCAGGUGCGAGGAGCAGCGUAACGGCGGAGGCUGCGAAUGGGAACUGGGAACUUGGGAUUUGGGAAGGCUAUGGGAAGGGAAGGGUUUCUGACUAGAGUACAGAGGGAAGGGAAGACCCAAAGGUGGCCAAGGGUAAAGGGGUAGGGUUUCAGACUGAAAGAAUGACAUCGUUUAAUAAUAAAGAUAUUAAUUUAUAAUUAAUUAUAAAAACUUCGGUUCGGUUCGAUUUCUGAACCCUAAAAACCAAACCAAACCAAAACAAUUUCAGUUUGGUUCGGUUUUUUAGUUUCGGUUCGUUUUUUUUUCGGUUCCAUUUUUUUCGGCUUUGGUUCGGUUUAGUUUUGGGUUUUUUGAACCCACCCCUAUGAGACAUCGUCCUAGAGAAUUCUCAAGUGAUGACAUACUUGAUCAACUUGAUUCCCUUUUACCUCGUACACUU
This 1807-nucleotide long non-coding RNA is filed under the name Malus domestica (apple). RNAcentral describes it as "long non-coding RNA (MDOM_LNC010414)". Lineage: Eukaryota; Viridiplantae; Streptophyta; Magnoliopsida; Rosales; Rosaceae. The record is from RNAcentral.